RNAcentral lists this unclassified non-coding RNA (200 nucleotides) under soil metagenome. RNAcentral's name for it is "partial contains internal transcribed spacer 2 and large subunit ribosomal RNA". The record is from RNAcentral.
GAUCGUGACGCUUGUCGAUGAAACAGCCGACUUCGUUAAAAUACAACAAGCUGAAUCAACACACUUGCGGCUUGACCUAUUGUUGUAACUUAAAUUCAAUAGGAACGCACUAAAGUUGAACGAGCUUACCAUAAACGUGUGCUUUGCCACACAAAGUGAUUAUUAAACUCAAAUCAAGUAGGACUACCCGCUGAACUUAA